This 632-nucleotide ribosomal RNA is filed under the name Globigerinella siphonifera. RNAcentral describes it as "bacterial SSU rRNA". The stretch from base 1 to 542 matches the Rfam family "Eukaryotic small subunit ribosomal RNA", at positions 1292 to 1607 of the family's 1831-position model. The record is from RNAcentral. Lineage: Eukaryota; Foraminifera; Rotaliida; Globigerinidae.
UCUUAGUUCGUGGAGUGAUCUGUCUGCUUAAUUGCGUUUCAAAUAUAUUUUAUUAUAUAACGAGUCUACAAAGGAGUGGUUCAUUAACAGACAAUCAUAUCUUUGAGCGUCUGGAAUCUACUCUAUUUGGCUCAAUUGAACGCAACGGACGUGAUCGCGAGUCCUUGUUGAACUUCAGUAUAUAUUGACUAUCCCCGUAGGAAGGGAUUGGCAAUAAUUGAAUGUUCGCUUUCUAUUAGGUGUGUAUAUAUAGUCUCAAAAUUGCAUGUAUUUGUAAUGGCGAGUAAUAUGUACUAUCCUAUAGGAAAACUCGGGCGACCGCUGUAAUAUUUCUCUUUAAAACAGAGGAAGAUUGCGGCAAUAACAGGUCUGUGAUGCCCUCAGAUGUCCCGGGCCGCACACGUGCUACAUUGAUUAGCGCAGUGCGCAUACUUUCAAUAUGAUACAUUAGAUUGGAUUGUUCUGUUGAGCUCCAUCUAAUACUAUCCGGCUUGAGAAGGCUGGGUAAUCAAUUGUAAGUGCUGGUUCCUCCUCCCGUUGAGCAUUUUAAUAAUGGCCUCUCUACAUCCCUAGCAAUAUGCCUAGUGCGAUUGUAGUUGAGCCUUGCCAUUUAUGCAAGUGUCAAUUCUCAG